RNAcentral lists this ribosomal RNA (500 nucleotides) under uncultured bacterium. RNAcentral describes it as "partial 16S ribosomal RNA". It matches the Rfam family "Bacterial small subunit ribosomal RNA", at positions 30 to 523 of the family's 1533-position model. The record is from RNAcentral.
AUUGAACGCUGGCGGCAGGCCUAACACAUGCAAGUCGAGCGGAUGACGGGAGCUUGCUCCUUGAUUCAGCGGCGGACGGGUGAGUAAUGCCUAGGAAUCUGCCUGGUAGUGGGGGACAACGUUUCGAAAGGAACGCUAAUACCGCAUACGUCCUACUGGAGAAAGCAGGGGACCUUCGGGCCUUGCGCUAUCAGAUGAGCCUAGGUCGGAUUAGCUAGUAGGUGAGGUAAUGGCUCACCUAGGCGACGAUCCGUAACUGGUCUGAGAGGAUGAUCAGUCACACUGGAACUGAGACACGGGCCAGACUCCUACGGGAGGCAGCAGUGGGGAAUAUUGGACAAUGGGCGAAAGCCUGAUCCAGCCAUGCCGCGUGUGUGAAGAAGGUCUUCGGAUUGUAAAGCACUUUAAGUUGGGAGGAAGGGUUGUACGUUAAUACCGUGCAAUUUUGACGUUACCGACAGAAUAAGCACCGGCUAACUCUGUGCCAGCCGCCGCGGUAA